RNAcentral lists this ribosomal RNA (2925 nucleotides) under Escherichia coli. Its description in RNAcentral is "23S ribosomal RNA". It matches the Rfam family "Bacterial large subunit ribosomal RNA". The record is from RNAcentral. Lineage: Bacteria; Pseudomonadati; Pseudomonadota; Gammaproteobacteria; Enterobacterales; Enterobacteriaceae.
GGGUUGUGAGGUUAAGCGACUAAGCGUACACGGUGGAUGCCCUGGCAGUCAGAGGCGAUGAAGGACGUGCUAAUCUGCGAUAAGCGUCGGUAAGGUGAUAUGAACCGUUAUAACCGGCGAUUUCCGAAUGGGGAAACCCAGUGUGAUUCGUCACACUAUCAUUAACUGAAUCCAUAGGUUAAUGAGGCGAACCGGGGGAACUGAAACAUCUAAGUACCCCGAGGAAAAGAAAUCAACCGAGAUUCCCCCAGUAGCGGCGAGCGAACGGGGAGCAGCCCAGAGCCUGAAUCAGUGUGUGUGUUAGUGGAAGCGUCUGGAAAGGCGCGCGAUACAGGGUGACAGCCCCGUACACAAAAAUGCACAUGCUGUGAGCUCGAUGAGUAGGGCGGGACACGUGGUAUCCUGUCUGAAUAUGGGGGGACCAUCCUCCAAGGCUAAAUACUCCUGACUGACCGAUAGUAAACCAGUACCGUGAGGGAAAGGCGAAAAGAACCCCGGCGAGGGGAGUGAAAAAGAACCUGAAACCGUGUACGUACAAGCAGUGGGAGCACGCUUAGGCGUGUGACUGCGUACCUUUUGUAUAAUGGGUCAGCGACUUAUAUUCUGUAGCAAGGUUAACCGAAUAGGGGAGCCGAAGGGAAACCGAGUCUUAACUGGGCGUUAAGUUGCAGGGUAUAGACCCGAAACCCGGUGAUCUAGCCAUGGGCAGGUUGAAGGUUGGGUAACACUAACUGGAGGACCGAACCGACUAAUGUUGAAAAAUUAGCGGAUGACUUGUGGCUGGGGGUGAAAGGCCAAUCAAACCGGGAGAUAGCUGGUUCUCCCCGAAAGCUAUUUAGGUAGCGCCUCGUGAAUUCAUCUCCGGGGGUAGAGCACUGUUUCGGCAAGGGGGUCAUCCCGACUUACCAACCCGAUGCAAACUGCGAAUACCGGAGAAUGUUAUCACGGGAGACACACGGCGGGUGCUAACGUCCGUCGUGAAGAGGGAAACAACCCAGACCGCCAGCUAAGGUCCCAAAGUCAUGGUUAAGUGGGAAACGAUGUGGGAAGGCCCAGACAGCCAGGAUGUUGGCUUAGAAGCAGCCAUCAUUUAAAGAAAGCGUAAUAGCUCACUGGUCGAGUCGGCCUGCGCGGAAGAUGUAACGGGGCUAAACCAUGCACCGAAGCUGCGGCAGCGACGCUGAUGCGUUGUUGGGUAGGGGAGCGUUCUGUAAGCCUGCGAAGGUGUGCUGUGAGGCAUGCUGGAGGUAUCAGAAGUGCGAAUGCUGACAUAAGUAACGAUAAAGCGGGUGAAAAGCCCGCUCGCCGGAAGACCAAGGGUUCCUGUCCAACGUUAAUCGGGGCAGGGUGAGUCGACCCCUAAGGCGAGGCCGAAAGGCGUAGUCGAUGGGAAACAGGUUAAUAUUCCUGUACUUGGUGUUACUGCGAAGGGGGGACGGAGAAGGCUAUGUUGGCCGGGCGACGGUUGUCCCGGUUUAAGCGUGUAGGCUGGUUUUCCAGGCAAAUCCGGAAAAUCAAGGCUGAGGCGUGAUGACGAGGCACUACGGUGCUGAAGCAACAAAUGCCCUGCUUCCAGGAAAAGCCUCUAAGCAUCAGGUAACAUCAAAUCGUACCCCAAACCGACACAGGUGGUCAGGUAGAGAAUACCAAGGCGCUUGAGAGAACUCGGGUGAAGGAACUAGGCAAAAUGGUGCCGUAACUUCGGGAGAAGGCACGCUGAUAUGUAGGUGAAGUCCCUCGCGGAUGGAGCUGAAAUCAGUCGAAGAUACCAGCUGGCUGCAACUGUUUAUUAAAAACACAGCACUGUGCAAACACGAAAGUGGACGUAUACGGUGUGACGCCUGCCCGGUGCCGGAAGGUUAAUUGAUGGGGUUAGCGCAAGCGAAGCUCUUGAUCGAAGCCCCGGUAAACGGCGGCCGUAACUAUAACGGUCCUAAGGUAGCGAAAUUCCUUGUCGGGUAAGUUCCGACCUGCACGAAUGGCGUAAUGAUGGCCAGGCUGUCUCCACCCGAGACUCAGUGAAAUUGAACUCGCUGUGAAGAUGCAGUGUACCCGCGGCAAGACGGAAAGACCCCGUGAACCUUUACUAUAGCUUGACACUGAACAUUGAGCCUUGAUGUGUAGGAUAGGUGGGAGGCUUUGAAGUGUGGACGCCAGUCUGCAUGGAGCCGACCUUGAAAUACCACCCUUUAAUGUUUGAUGUUCUAACGUGGACCCGUAAUCCGGGUUGCGGACAGUGUCUGGUGGGUAGUUUGACUGGGGCGGUCUCCUCCUAAAGAGUAACGGAGGAGCACGAAGGUUGGCUAAUCCUGGUCGGACAUCAGGAGGUUAGUGCAAUGGCAUAAGCCAGCUUGACUGCGAGCGUGACGGCGCGAGCAGGUGCGAAAGCAGGUCAUAGUGAUCCGGUGGUUCUGAAUGGAAGGGCCAUCGCUCAACGGAUAAAAGGUACUCCGGGGAUAACAGGCUGAUACCGCCCAAGAGUUCAUAUCGACGGCGGUGUUUGGCACCUCGAUGUCGGCUCAUCACAUCCUGGGGCUGAAGUAGGUCCCAAGGGUAUGGCUGUUCGCCAUUUAAAGUGGUACGCGAGCUGGGUUUAGAACGUCGUGAGACAGUUCGGUCCCUAUCUGCCGUGGGCGCUGGAGAAUUGAGGGGGGCUGCUCCUAGUACGAGAGGACCGGAGUGGACGCAUCACUGGUGUUCGGGUUGUCAUGCCAAUGGCACUGCCCGGUAGCUAAAUGCGGAAGAGAUAAGUGCUGAAAGCAUCUAAGCACGAAACUUGCCCCGAGAUGAGUUCUCCCUGACUCCUUGAGAGUCCUGAAGGAACGUUGAAGACGACGACGUUGAUAGGCCGGGUGUGUAAGCGCAGCGAUGCGUUGAGCUAACCGGUACUAAUGAACCGUGAGGCUUAACCUUACAACGCCGAAG